AUACGUAGGUGGCAAGCGUUGUCCGGAAUUAUUGGGCGUAAAGCGCGCGCAGGUGGUUCCUUAAGUCUGAUGUGAAAGCCCCCGGCUCAACCGGGGAGGGUCAUUGGAAACUGGGGAACUUGAGUGCAGAAGAGGAUAGUGGAAUUCCAAGUGUAGCGGUGAAAUGCGUAGAGAUUUGGAGGAACACCAGUGGCGAAGGCGACUGUCUGGUCUGUAACGGACACUGAGGCGCGAAAGCGUGGGGAGAAAAGAGGAUUAGAUACCCUGUUAGCCCACGCCGUAAACGAUGAGUGCUAAGUGUUGGGGGGUUUCCGCCCCUCAGUGCUGCAGCUAACGCAUUAAGCACUCCGCCUGGGGAGUACGGUCGCAAGACUGAAACUCAAAGGAAUUGACGGGG
RNAcentral lists this ribosomal RNA (397 nucleotides) under uncultured bacterium. RNAcentral's name for it is "partial 16S ribosomal RNA". It matches the Rfam family "Bacterial small subunit ribosomal RNA", at positions 523 to 918 of the family's 1533-position model. The record is from RNAcentral.